CGAUUGGGAGGCAGCAGUGGGGAAUAUUGGACAAUGGGGGGAACCCUGAUCCAGCCAUACCGCGUGGGUGAAGAAGGCCUUCGGGUUGUAAAGCCCUUUUGUUGGGAAAGAAAUCCAGCUGGCUAAUACCCGGUUGGGAUGACGGUACCCAAAGAAUAAGCACCGGCUAACUUCGUGCCAGCAGCCGCGGUAAU
Molecule: ribosomal RNA, 194 nt
Filed under: uncultured bacterium
Lineage: Bacteria
Description: partial 16S ribosomal RNA
Rfam family: Bacterial small subunit ribosomal RNA
Source: RNAcentral